GUAAGGAUUGACAGAUUGANAGCUCUUUCUUGAUUCAGUGGGUGGUGGUGCAUGGCCGUUCUUAGUUGGUGGAGUGAUUUGUCUGGUUAAUUCCGAUAACGAACGAGACUCUAGCCUNCUAAAUAGU
RNAcentral lists this ribosomal RNA (127 nucleotides) under uncultured marine eukaryote. RNAcentral describes it as "partial 18S ribosomal RNA". It matches the Rfam family "Eukaryotic small subunit ribosomal RNA", at positions 1233 to 1359 of the family's 1831-position model. The record is from RNAcentral.